Long non-coding RNA from Eriocheir sinensis (Chinese mitten crab), 409 nucleotides. RefSeq lists it as uncharacterized. The record is from RefSeq and is a predicted model, not a curated record. The transcript is spliced from 3 exons. NCBI's taxonomy places the organism in Eukaryota, Metazoa, Arthropoda, Malacostraca, Decapoda, Varunidae.
GCGGAAAAUGUAAGUCUAGGCCAGGGUCGCCAUCAGCCUCCGGGGACGUGACGGUCAUGUAAACACAACAGAGGCAGGAAGGCAGGGCAGGGGAGGCAGAGUUCACGCUGUCUUGUACGAUUAUCCAGGCUGUGGACAAAAAACUCAAGAUGAAGUUGCCACACAAUCUUCUGCUCUCUGCAACACUCUAUAUGUGCAUAAUGGGGAAAGAGGAUGUGGACUUUAUAGACACAGAAUCAACACAAGACAAGGAGGCGGCUCAGAAGUGUGAUGCUUGUACGAUUGUCGCUAGAAAGUUUGUUGAUGCUUUUUCUGAACUUAAAGAGGAAGCAGCAGCCAGCAGUCAGAUGCCUCACGAUGAAGACAUUAUUAACGCUGCAGAAAGUGUGUGUGAUGAUGCGUGGGAAGG